Panicum virgatum (switchgrass) is the source of this 1499-nucleotide RNA transcript. RefSeq lists it as uncharacterized. The transcript is spliced from 6 exons. NCBI's taxonomy places the organism in Eukaryota, Viridiplantae, Streptophyta, Magnoliopsida, Poales, Poaceae. The record is from RefSeq and is a predicted model, not a curated record.
CCGAACCUGUCUAAAUCUUCGUGUUCCUUGCACCAUCGAGUUUCAGAGCAGUCGAUCCCUACCUACAAACCUUACUGCUAAGGGUAUCCCUGAGCAGGCUUGGCGGUAAACACCGACAUGGCAAGAACACCUUUUCUGCGGUUCACUAAAGAUCUACUGCAUCGCCUUGGAUGAAAAUUAUCAAGGGGCUGAUGAUGAGGUUGAUGGUACUUCACCCCCAACAAUCAACAGAAGCGGGCAGCCGAUCAAAUAUUCUCCGCCAACAAAUUAUCCUCUUAUCAGCUAUGAUGCACCAACCCUUGCUGACGUCGCUACUGGCAGAAAACGCAAGAUGACCAGCACUAAGAGGAUAGCCCAGAGGACUCAAGGUUCUUCUGGCCAUGCUUUGACCAUCACAUCGGCACAAGAUGACGAUGUCCCAACAGAUGCUGCCUCUCCCCCAUCAGAAGCUGCCAAAGAUAUAAACGAAAGGGACACCCAAGAGAUUACUUCCCAAACAGCUCCAACAGUUUAGAUCCAAUGCUUGCCCUCCAAACGGGCAAGAACAACUUCCUCACCGGCUCAGCAAACAUCAAUCAUCAUGCAAGAGUUACCAUCCAUCCCACAAGAUGCUUUCCCUGAUUCUGUCGCCCCAACAUUGUUACUCGCAUCCUCCUCUGCACCGGCUACUGAUGAAGCCCUUCUGAGACAAGCACAGGACAGUCCAGACAACAGUCUGUUCUCCUUCCAGCUUGGAACAACCAGUGCAGAAGACGAGGUUAUAUCAUCAGCAGAAUCGGCUCCAUUAUCAGAAGAAACUAAGGCCAAGCUUCAGGAAAUUCUACAAUUCCUUAACCAAGACAUUGGUCAACUGGUUUGAGAUGCUGAGCCGAUUCGGACCAUCUUGAAAUCUCUGAAAGGUAUUCUUCCCGAGUCUCUUGAAGAAGCACUGCACCCUGCUGCUUAUAUCGAGAGCCACCAGAUUUUAGUUCUCAAAGCUCAGAAACGCCUCUCUGAUCAGCUCCACCAAGAGCAAGCGAUCAAACAGAGAGAUGACCUGAAAAACCUUGUGGAAACAACUAGCGGAAAGAUUGUCUCCUUAACUCAAUCCAAGGCAAAUAUGGAACAAUCAAAAAUAGACUUGGAAGCCAAGCGAGAACGCCUUAUCAAAGAACUGGAGCAAGUGACCCAAGAGAUUGCCGAUGUAGACAAUAAACUAUCUCAACUUCCAUCGGCUCUCCAGCAACUUGAGGCGGAGAAACAAGAACAAGCUCGUCAGACCUACCAACUCCAUAAAAGCAUUAAGCCAAUACCAGGUUCUGCUGAAGCUGACAACAAGGAAAUUCAAGAUGCUGAUGACAUUCGCCUGCGUGCGAUCUCUGUGAUCCAGAAUGCUCUCGGAUCAUUGUAAAACGCUACUUGUUCUUGUUGUGGUAGAAAAAACUUCAACUGAUGUAUUGCAAAUGAUGCUUAAUUCACAACCUCUGUCUUCAACAAAUAUAACUUUUUCUUUUGUAUUA